UACAGAGGGUGCAAGCGUUGUUCGGAAUUAUUGGGCGUAAAGCGCGUGUAGGCGGCUUUGCAAGUCGGGUGUGAAAGCCCUCAGCUCAACUGAGGAAGUGCGCCCGAAACUGCAGAGCUUGAGUGCCGGAGAGGGUGGCGGAAUUCCCCAAGUAGAGGUGAAAUUCGUAGAUAUGGGGAGGAACACCCGUGGCGAAAGCGGCUCUCUGGAACGGUACUGACGCUGAGACGCGAAAGCGUGGGGAGCGAACAGG
This 253-nucleotide ribosomal RNA is filed under the name uncultured bacterium. RNAcentral's name for it is "partial 16S ribosomal RNA". It matches the Rfam family "Bacterial small subunit ribosomal RNA", at positions 524 to 776 of the family's 1533-position model. The record is from RNAcentral.